CAGCACACCCGCGCUCGCGCGCAGACACUGCUGCACACUGUGCUCCCAAGCUGGAACGCUCUCUUGCCGAUACAAUUGAAGGGCGAUCCUCCCCGCACAUCCAACCCGCCUCUCCACCGCUCCUCGACCAGCCCCACCACGACCGCAUCAGCCGCGGCGACUUCUUCGAGUGCACGAGCAGGGCGGGGUGUAUCGGAGUAUUUGUGGACCAGACAAGCGGUCAGAUAUACGGAUGCGCAUCGGCAGGAGGGACAGCACUCGCAGAGCUGUCGUACGUCGAACAACAGUCAGCAGCAGUGACAGCACCUACGACUGAGCGGCGCAUUGACGCCGACGACUCAUCCUCCCGCCUCGACACCUCGUUUGGCUCGACGCACAUCGACCACGAAGAUGUGGAGCGGUGGAGCGCGUGGAUCCUGACCAGAGGGGAAACAUCGCCGCCGUUGGCAAAGUUAUGAGAGCGUCGGGACGGGGCGACGGGGGAUAUCCUGGACUGCGAGCGUGGCGGCGAAGGAGGAGCAAGAAGCAGUAGUCCAAGGACAAGAGCAAGAAGCAGUUUACGGAACAGCGGUGCGUCU
RNAcentral lists this unclassified non-coding RNA (578 nucleotides) under Rhodotorula toruloides. The record is from RNAcentral. Lineage: Eukaryota; Fungi; Basidiomycota; Microbotryomycetes; Sporidiobolales; Sporidiobolaceae.